CUUGAUGAAAACUGACGUUGCGACAUUUUAUGAGAAGUAAUUGAACAAGAAGAGACUACCAAAUCACAGACCAAAAAUUCCAACCAAUGAAGAUAUCUCUUUUCACCAGCUGUCUUCUGCUACUGUUGGCCGUUUCGGUCAUUCAGGGCCUCGGCUUCUACAAGCACACAUAUACAAAGAUAACCACUACCACGACCUAUAGAGUCGUUAAGAAGCCUGCCAAAUCAUCUAGCAUCUCAAAUACAAACACCGUAACUACAACCAGCUACAGCUGCCGCAACCCCACGACGAACCAGUUCACCUACAAAGAUGGCGAUGUGUGGACCAAUAACUGUGUAACGUACAAAUGCACCGUCAACUACAGUGCUGGGACGGUCAAAUCCGAAAUACAGACAACCAAGUGCAUGGACGAUUCGAAGACGUGCAGAGUCCCAGGGGAGAUAUUUACCUUUACUAUGAUUGGUCAAACUUACAACACCUGCAAAUGUAGCAUCGACGAAUCCAAUGGAAAGGCAACCAGGAACUACUCGUGCAAAUAAGAAGUAGAAUGCUUUCCAAUGAGUAAUAUCAAGAAAAAGUCAAGACGGAAUAUUUUGAACUUAAGAAAAGCCAAAAAGUGUUUCCAGGUUUUCCUGAACUCAGAUAAUUGAUUUAUUUUAUCAAUUCUCUGCAAAGAUGAAAUCAAGUCGAACAAAAUGAUACAUCAUUGACUUAGAGCUCCAAAUGUGCCAAUGAUAAAAGACAUAUGUUACAUUUUAUCGUAAGUGCAAAAUCUUCCAGUCUUUACUAUUGUUCUUGGUAAUCUAUACUUGGUGUUAUGAAUAAAGGCUUGUGAAUGCUUUUACUUCAGUUAUGUAGCCUAUAGGAAGCCUCUGUGUAAAUGUCUAAUAAGAUACCAGUAAAAGCAUUUAUUAUAAAUAUUUAUUCAUAACAACCACUGGCAUGUCGCAGAAGUGCGAUGGCAGAUGUCGACGUCACGUGAUCCUCUGUAAUCAUAAGUAUGACAGCCGAACUUCAUGUAUGACAUGAUCCAGAACUUAAAAAUAAAUAAAAUUACAAAAACC
Molecule: long non-coding RNA, 1064 nt
Organism: Lineus longissimus
Lineage: Eukaryota; Metazoa; Nemertea; Pilidiophora; Heteronemertea; Lineidae
Exons: 4
Source: RefSeq, a predicted model, not a curated record